GCAGCCGCCGCGGGAAUACAGAGGGUGCAAGCGUUAAUCGGAAUUACUGGGCGUAAAGCGCGCGUAGGUGGUUUGUUAAGUUGGAUGUGAAAGCCCCGGGCUCAACCUGGGAACUGCAUCCAAAACUGGCAAGCUAGAGUACGGUAGAGGGUGGUGGAAUUUCCUGUGUAGCGGUGAAAUGCGUAGAUAUAGGAAGGAACACCAGUGGCGAAGGCGACCACCUGGACUGAUACUGACACUGAGGUGCGAAAGCGUGGGGAGCAAACAGGAUUAGAUACCCGCGUAGUCCCUGUCUCUUAUAC
RNAcentral lists this ribosomal RNA (302 nucleotides) under uncultured bacterium. RNAcentral's name for it is "partial 16S ribosomal RNA". It matches the Rfam family "Bacterial small subunit ribosomal RNA", at positions 508 to 807 of the family's 1533-position model. The record is from RNAcentral.